GAUGAACGCUGGCGGCGUGCCUAAUACAUGCAAGUCGAGCGAACAGACGAGGAGCUUGCUCCUCUGACGUUAGCGGCGGACGGGUGAGUAACACGUGGAUAACCUACCUAUAAGACUGGGAUAACUUCGGGAAACCGGAGCUAAUACCGGAUAAUAUAUUGAACCGCAUGGUUCAAUAGUGAAAGACGGUUUUGCUGUCACUUAUAGAUGGAUCCGCGCCGCAUUAGCUAGUUGGUAAGGUAACGGCUUACCAAGGCAACGAUGCGUAGCCGACCUGAGAGGGUGAUCGGCCGCACUGGAACUGAGACACGGUCCAGACUCCUACGGGAGGCAGCAGUAGGGAAUCUUCCGCAAAGGGCGAAAGCCUGACGGAGCAACGCCGCGUGAGUGAUGAAGGUCUUCGGAUCGUAAAACUCUGUUAUUAGGGAAGAACAAAUGUGUAAGUAACUAUGCACGUCUUGACGGUACCUAAUCAGAAAGCCACGGCUAACUACGUG
RNAcentral lists this ribosomal RNA (497 nucleotides) under uncultured bacterium. RNAcentral describes it as "partial 16S ribosomal RNA". It matches the Rfam family "Bacterial small subunit ribosomal RNA", at positions 28 to 507 of the family's 1533-position model. The record is from RNAcentral.